CAGCUGAAGUCUCACCACGUUGACGAAUGUCAUCAAGUGGGUCCCACAGAAAGUUACAUGGUGAUAGAUACUCAACUUGAGGCCUGUUGGGCAGAUAACAAUCAUCAGCUGCUUAACCUGCAUCCAAAACAGGUUGUUGGUGAUUUAGUUUUGUGAGGAUGGCAUCUUAUAACCAGAUUAGAAAGCUCAGUCAUCCUGCAAUUUGACUCUAUGAGGGUGGUUAAUGACUUAAUUCUUCUACGCUGUACUGCUGGAUCUUUCAGAUGAGCAUCUCCUGGUUCAAUGCGCAGCAUCAAUGUCUUUGGUAUCGUCAUUGAAAUCGUAUUCCUGUUUCCUCAUAGCACUUGAAGUCCGGUCGCAAGCAAGAAAUUCACCCUUGAUGGUACGAAUGGGCAUUUGGACUUUCCAAGCUGUGGAGAUAGGUGCUAUCACUCUGGAGCUUGCAUUCGAACUGUGCCUGCAAGAAUACCACAUGUAGCUGCCUCGGCUCUCCACAUAAACAUCCAUGUCAGGUAAUCAGGAUAGCCAUGAAGUAUCCAUGCGGAUUUUGUAUUUUUCAGCCUCAAAUAGAAGGUGAUGACCACUGGCACGUUGAGGACCACUGGAUGCUACAUUCGGUGCCCUUUAUUUCACAUAAACUUAAGAAUAAGUGCUCCGUACUGUGCUAAGGUUUUUCUUUCACCAUUUCUGGUCAGCAUGCAGAUUCUGCAGAAAACAAAUUACAUCUCCAAACUUCCUACCCAAUCCUUUCGUCCAAAUGGGGCCUCCUAUAAAAACAUGAUUGCAUAGAGUACAAAGAGCUUGAAGGAAAAAGACUUAGAGCGGAGCCAAGCUAAGAAAUGCACACUCAAUCUAUCUAGUAUUUUUAUGAAUAUUCAAGUAGCGAAAAUUAGUGUUUUCCUAAGAUACUUUUCGAACUGCUUUUUGACAUUUAGAUUUGUACUCCCUCCGAUCCAUAAUAAGUGUCUUAGAUUUUGUACUUAGUACAAAGUUGUACUUAGUCUGAGACACUUAUUAUGGAUCGGAGGGAGUACUUUUCUGUGUACUGAUACAAAGUUGCUUGGAGACAUGCUAAUAUGUGGUGAGAUCAUACCAUAUGCACUUUGUGUAAGUAAAGGGAAUAUACUCAACAUGUGACAAUCUUGGAAUAAAGGUACAGUCUUGCAGAUCAGAUGGGCAUCUCCACCAGGACCUUGCUAGCAGAAAGGCAGAAGAUCAACUAUGAAUUGCUGAAAGUUCUCCCAUGACAACCAUAGGGGGGAAAAGGCACCAAGGAAUUUCCCUGCACUGCAAACUACCUACACCUGGCUUCCGUGGAUGAACUCUUGCCAUGAAUACCAUUGCCAUUCCAUUCUCUGCUGCUUCUGGUCCCUCCGGACUGUUCGCCGAUCAGCUGGAAACAGCGCAAAAGUUUAUGUAAUCCAGUGCUGUUGUGUUCUUGCCUGGAUGGCGAUCACAUCUCAAGGCGGCGGGGACAUAUUGUUGUUUUUACCAGCUAAUUCUGAAUCUUGAAGGACGUAGUAACCUGUACUGCAUUUCUGUUUUCAGCGAACUUGCAAGUUUACUUUUGGCAUUGGUUUCCUGGUUUCGCUAACAAUCUCAGCUUCUCGGAUCAAUUCAUCCACUUUGAAGAACUAGAGGGAUCUCUGAUAGGACACCGCUGAGGCUCCCCGCCUGAACCCAGAGCUUAGCUGCCAACUUGACACUGGACUUAAAAGGCCUGCAAUCUCUGGUUGCGCAUUGUCAAAGACAAUUGCAUUGAGCUGUUUCUAGAUCCACCAAGCCGUUAGGAAGAUCCGGAAGGCGGUGCUCUUGCUGGCUUACUGAUGGGUCGAAAGGGAAGUCAACCUCCACCAUUCCACAAAGUCCCCAUCAUUUGAGGGAGGUUACGAGGUUCCACAUGCCGGAGAAAGUACAUGAUGGGGGAGAGAUUACGCAGCAAUAGCACAGAGACACGGCAAAAGCUGGGCGGUAUCUUGUACUCCUCUGUUUCUAAAUAUCUGUACAUGCAGCCAUUUUUAGACAAAAUAAGCUAAAGUGACAAAUCCGUGUUCGGCCUUCUCCUCACAUUCUCAAUGCAUUCAUUUAAUCUUUUUCCAAUCUCUCUUCUUCUCUAUCUUACCUCACCCAAUAGAAUACCAACAUUAAAAUUGUUUGCCUAGGGAAGAUAAACAUACAUUGAUAUUUUGAGAAAACUUGUCUAUGCUAGUACAUGUAUGGAUAAAAAAGAAACGAUGCACCAUACUAUACAUGGGUUAGGAGUUGCGUUUUUCGCGCCGUCUCCUCCAGGUGACGCAGGAGGCGAACCCUAGAUCCUUGCUGCCAGCUCCUUCUCUCUCCCUUACCCCCUCAGGUGGUCGUCAGGCUUUGGUCGCGGUUUACAAUGAAGGAGGCGGCGGGGUUUCCUACUGGUAUGCAGGAUGCGUGUUUUCAGUGGCCUUUUGGGGUGGAGGCUGCAGAUUUGGGUGAAAAUCCUGCCUGUUGUCGGUGCAGAUGGUGGCAGCGGCAUCUUGUUGUUGUUCCCUUCCUAUAGGCGUCAUUGUGUUUUCUCCAGGUGAAAACCUAGAUCCGCUUGGGUCGGACGAUGGCGAUGUUCCUCGUUGAAGUCAUUUUUUUAGGAGCUAGGUCUUGCUACUAGCGUUGAGUUCCUUGUAGUGCCACAUUCUUUGUCGGCUACGU
Brachypodium distachyon (stiff brome) is the source of this 2679-nucleotide long non-coding RNA. RefSeq lists it as uncharacterized. Lineage: Eukaryota; Viridiplantae; Streptophyta; Magnoliopsida; Poales; Poaceae. The record is from RefSeq and is a predicted model, not a curated record. The transcript is spliced from 4 exons.